UGAGGAAAAGAGGCGGUUUUUGGCAUUCUAAACUCCACAAAAUAGAGAGAAAACAACCAAGAAUAAAAAGGAAAAGAGGGAGAAGAAGAUCAAGCAUUCAAACUCUUUAUCAUUUUGGAGACAAACACUACAACCAACAAUUGGAGAACAUCAUGAAUCUUAUGUCGCCAUUACCCUCUCGAGUGCACGGUUGGUUGGACGUAGAGCAUCGAAACCUAAGCAUAGUUGCUCAGACUCUUUCAAAGAAAGUCGAAGCAUUUGGCAAUUGGCAUGCUUGAAGUAUGAAACUUACAAGCGUUAGAGAUGACUAAUGAUGUGAUACACAUUGUGUGUACGAAUCUCUUGCUUUUUCGACGUUCAAGCUUCGUCUGAGUACUUCUCCGAGCAAGGCAUGGAUUGAUGUGAUUGCAAGUAGUAUUUAGGUGAAUUCAUAAUUCUUUCAACUACAUGUGGAAUUUUAGUGUUAAUUUGAAUCUAUACCCUAUUUCUGUAUCCACCUCCCAUGAUUAAUUGGUGUUAGUUUUUUCAAAAAAUAUGUUAAACUUUUUCAUCUUUUUUGAAUUAGUAAAUGUAAUUUUGUUGUAGUCAUUACCAAGUCUGGUAAAUGAUUACGUCUAUUCUUAAUUUUAGAAUAUUUUGGAGAAAUAAUAAACUGUGUUAUAUAUGAAUUCAAUUAUU
Molecule: long non-coding RNA, 678 nt
Organism: Salvia splendens (bonfire salvia)
Lineage: Eukaryota; Viridiplantae; Streptophyta; Magnoliopsida; Lamiales; Lamiaceae
Exons: 2
Source: RefSeq, a predicted model, not a curated record